GGGCUUUGCAGCGCCCUCGCCCGCCCCUAUAUGUGUGGUGUCGGUUUUACCGACUAUGGCGAUAAACGGACGUUGGAAUAAACCCAUCGGACCCGGGGGCAGUGCCCGGCGCCUCCACCACGAACCGCUUGUCCGGCGGCUGGUGAUGGGGGCGAAACAGGAUCGACGAGGGCGUAAAGAACGAACUUUCGCUCGGCAUGGUAGCCACCGUUAUCGGGCCAAACUUGUAGUUGCAAACGACAACUAUGCGGAAGCACGUCUCGCCGCGUAAGCAGCGCGACAGCUUCAAUUCAAGCCCUAGUGGUUCGCACUUCUAGGCGGGGUUCGGAGGUACCUGGCAACAGAAACCUCCACU
This 355-nucleotide transfer-messenger RNA is filed under the name Chelativorans sp. ZYF759. It matches the Rfam family "Alphaproteobacteria transfer-messenger RNA". From Rfam's summary of the family: Bacterial tmRNA, also known as 10Sa RNA or SsrA, is named for its dual tRNA and mRNA-like properties. The record is from RNAcentral. Lineage: Bacteria; Pseudomonadati; Pseudomonadota; Alphaproteobacteria; Hyphomicrobiales; Phyllobacteriaceae.